RNAcentral lists this non-coding RNA (45 nucleotides) under Trichobilharzia regenti. Lineage: Eukaryota; Metazoa; Platyhelminthes; Trematoda; Strigeidida; Schistosomatidae. The record is from RNAcentral.
ACCCAACUGACAAGUCCCAAAUAGGACGAAAUGAGCAUCCUGGAA